RNAcentral lists this ribosomal RNA (484 nucleotides) under uncultured bacterium. RNAcentral describes it as "partial 16S ribosomal RNA". It matches the Rfam family "Bacterial small subunit ribosomal RNA", at positions 30 to 507 of the family's 1533-position model. The record is from RNAcentral.
AUUGAACGCUGGCGGCAGGCCUAACACAUGCAAGUCGAGCGGAUGAAGGGAGCUUGCUCCUGGAUUCAGCGGCGGACGGGUGAGUAAUGCCUAUGAAUCUGCCUUGUAGUGGGGGAUAACGUCCGGAAACGGGCGCUAAUACCGCAUGCGUCCUGAGGGAGAAAGUGGGGGAUCUUCGGACCUCACGCUAUCAUGUGAGCCUAGGUCGGAGUCGCUAGUUGGUGGCGUGAAGGCCUACCAAGGCGACGAUGCGUAACUGGUCUGAGAGGCUGGUCAGUUACACUGGAACUGAGAAAGGGUCCAGACUCCUGCGGGAGGACGCAGUGGGGAAUAUUGGGCGAUGGGCGAAAGGCGGAUCCAGCCAAGUCGCGUGUGUGAAGAAGGUCUUCGGCUUGUUAAGUACUUUAAGUUGGGGGGAAGGGCAGUAAGUUAAUACCUUGCUGUUUUGACGGUACCCACAGAAUAAGCACCGGCUAACUUCGUG